Molecule: non-coding RNA, 23 nt
Filed under: Cricetulus griseus (Chinese hamster)
Lineage: Eukaryota; Metazoa; Chordata; Mammalia; Rodentia; Cricetidae
Source: RNAcentral
CAAGGGAGACUGAUAUGUUUGAU